AAGUCGUAACAAGGUUUCCGUAGGUGAACCUGCGGAAGGAUCAUUAAAAAAAUAAAUAAAUAUAACAAUGUGAACUUGGAAAUGUCUACUUCCUUUUUUGGAAGGGGGGGGGUAGGCAUUAUUUUUAAUACCUUAUUAUUUUAUAGCAGAGUCAAAAAAAAAUAUAAUGACAACUUUUAGCAACGGAUCUCUAGGUUCUC
This 200-nucleotide unclassified non-coding RNA is filed under the name fungal sp. RNAcentral's name for it is "partial internal transcribed spacer region". The stretch from base 1 to 46 matches the Rfam family "Eukaryotic small subunit ribosomal RNA", at positions 1786 to 1831 of the family's 1831-position model. Lineage: Eukaryota; Fungi. The record is from RNAcentral.